GUAGGGAAUUUUGGACAAUGGGCGCAAGCCUGAUCCAGCAAUGCCGCGUGUGUGAAGAAGGCCUUCGGGUUGUAAAGCACUUUUGGCAGGAAAGAAAUAGUGCGUGCUAAUACCAUGCGCGAAUGACGGUACCUGCAGAAUAAGCACCGGCUAACUACGUGCCAGCAGCCGCGGUAAGACGUAGGGUGCAAGCGUUAAUCGGAAUUACUGGGCGUAAAGCGUGCGCAGGCGGUUUUGUAAGACAGGUGUGAAAUCCCCGGGAUCAACCUGGGAACUGCACUUGUGACUGCAAGGCUAGAGUGUGUCAGAGGGAGGUGGAAUUCCGCGUGUAGCAGUGAAAUGCGUAGAGAUGCGGAGGAACACCGAUGGCGAAGGCAGCCUCCUGGGAUAACACUGACGCUCAGGCACGAAAGCGUGGGGAGCAAACAGGAUUAGAUACCCGGGUAGUCC
Molecule: ribosomal RNA, 450 nt
Filed under: uncultured bacterium
Lineage: Bacteria
Description: partial 16S ribosomal RNA
Rfam family: Bacterial small subunit ribosomal RNA
Source: RNAcentral